RNAcentral lists this ribosomal RNA (379 nucleotides) under uncultured bacterium. RNAcentral describes it as "partial 16S ribosomal RNA". It matches the Rfam family "Bacterial small subunit ribosomal RNA", at positions 338 to 709 of the family's 1533-position model. The record is from RNAcentral.
CCUACGGGAGGCAGCAGUAGGGAAUCUUGCACAAUGGGCGAAAGCCUGAUGGAGCAACGCCGCGUGGGUGAAGAAGGUCUUCGGAUCGUAAAACCCUGUUGUUAGAGAAGAAAGUUCGAGAGAGUAACUGUUCACGUUUCGACGGUAUCUAACCAGAACGGCACGGCUAACGACGGAACAGCAGCCGAGGUAAUACGUAGGUGGGAAGCGUUAUCCGGAUUUAUUGGGCGUAAGGGGAACGCAGGCGGUCUUUUAAGUCUGAUGUGAAAGCCUUCGGCUUAACCGGAGUAGUGCAUUGGAGACUGGGAGACUUGAGUGCAGAAGAGGAGGGCGGAACUCCAGGUGUAGCGGUGAAAUGCGUAGAUAUAUGGAAGAACAC